Molecule: ribosomal RNA, 228 nt
Filed under: uncultured bacterium
Lineage: Bacteria
Description: partial 16S ribosomal RNA
Rfam family: Bacterial small subunit ribosomal RNA
Source: RNAcentral
CCCCCAAAAGCCGUCUCAGUUCGGAUCGCAGGCUGCAACCCGCCUGCGUGAAGUCGGAAUCGCUAGUAAUCGCGGAUCAGCAUGCCGCGGUGAAUACGUUCCCGGGCCUUGUACACACCGCCCGUCACACCAUGAGAGCCGGUAACACCCGAAGUCAGUAGCCUAACCGCAAGGGGGGAGCUGCCGAAGGUGGAGCCGGUAACUGGGGUGAAGUCGUAACAAGGUACC